CUGCUGAAUGUCUCAGCUGCUCCUGCUGGGGAAGAGAAAAUGGCCCACCUUUAUAUCCACUCAGCUGCCAUGUACUUUUGUGAUGUCUCAGGUUGUCCAUAGUCAACUGCAACAGCUGGAGAUGCAUCAGCAUAGUCUCCUCGGGUGUCAGAAUGGCUUUCCAGACUGAGAAAAGUAUUUUCCCGUCUGGGGAGAAAAACUAAGAUUUCUCCUCUCCCAGAGACCUCCCCCUCGCCCACAACCUCCCCCUCUGCACCCCUCUUUGAGAGGACACAAAAGAUGUUUACUGCAACAUGACAGCAAGCUUUGGAUACCUAGUCGGGCUGGAGCCCAGUGCAAAAGGAACAGAAUCCAUAGGAAACUACCAGAGAUAGCUCCCACACUAAACCCCAACUGCUGGCCUGCAAUCCAUUUGUUGGGAUGCUCCAAUGCUGAAGACGAGG
Long non-coding RNA from Zootoca vivipara (common lizard), 443 nucleotides. RefSeq lists it as uncharacterized. Lineage: Eukaryota; Metazoa; Chordata; Lepidosauria; Squamata; Lacertidae. The record is from RefSeq and is a predicted model, not a curated record.